GAUAACUUGUUGAAUUCAUUUCAUAAACUAAAUAUGGCACAAAGCCAAUACAUAAAACAAGUUUACAAUCUUGAAAAAACAGUAGGUUGACCUAAACUUCACCUACUACCACUAAUACACAUAGUAACUUGUGCUAAUUAGCUUGAACAAACAAACAAAGCUGAUUUAUCAGCUCAGUCAACAUCAAAAUUACAUCAAACAUAAACCUAACAUAGUUAUAAAGAAACUAAGUUACAUUACUCUAACUUAAAAUUACAAAAUGAAACAUAAACAGCUUGCUGACUAGGUGAACCAGCAGCUUCUGCAUGUAGUGCCUUUGACAGUCUUGGUUGCUGCAUGCUGACCAUUACUUCAACACUCCUCCUUGGUUAGCAUGUUGCAAACUCCCAUAUUAGCUCUCAGGUGUUGAAACUUGGAAACACUUAGUGCUUUUGUCAAAAUAUCAGCAAUUUGCUCUUCAGAACUGCAAUGUAUCAGCUUAACAACAUGUGCUUGUUCCAUUUCCCGAACUGCAUGAAGUUUGAUGUUGAAGUGCUUGGUCUUUCCAUGAAAAAUAGGAUUCUUUGCAAUAGCAACUGCUGAUUGGUUGUCACACAUUAUUUCAGUUGCUUCCUUUUGCUCAUGAUUGAUAUCUUUCAAAAUUUUCUAAGCCAUAUGGCUUGAUUGACUGCUGCAGCAGCAGCCACAUAUUCUGUUUCUGCAGUCGACUGAGCCACUACUCCCUGCUUCUUUGAGCUCCAGCAAAUCAUAGCAGAGCCUAUGUUGAAUGCAUAACCUGUAGUGCUCUUCAUGUCAUCCAAGGAACCAGCCCAAUCACUAUCACAAUAUCCAACUAGCUUCAAGUUCUCAGCCUUGGUAAACUGCAUUCCAUAGGACAAAGUUCCUUUGAUGUAUCUUAGAACCCUUUUUGCAGCUCUAAAAUGACUUUCAUUUGAACAAUGCAUAAACCUCGAGAGUAGACUCACAGCAUACAUUAUGUCAGGUCUAGUAGCAGUUAAAUACAACAAACAUCCAACUAGACUUCGAUAGGUUGUUUCACAAACCUUUUCAUGCUUGUCUUGGCUUGAGAGUUUUUCUCCAACAGCAACUGGUGUGCUGGUUGCUUUGCAAUUCUCCAUUGAGAAUUUGUAGAGAACCUUCAUAGCAAAGGUCUUUUGACUUAGCCAAAUCCCAUUCUUAGCUUGAGUUACUUCCAUGCCUAAGAAGUAAGACAUCAAUCCCAAGUCUGACAUUUCAAAAUGCUGUUGCAUUUUGACUUUAAAGCUGCUUAGCAUCUCAUGAUCUCCUCCUGUCACCAGUAGGUCAUCGACAUAUAUUGAAACAAUGAGCUGAGUUUCAGCAUUAGUUGAUUUAACAUACAGAGUUGGCUCGCUGAGACUUCUUUCAAAUCCUUGACUGGUCAGAUAGCCAUCUAUUCUGCUAUACCAGGCCCUUGGAGCCUGUUUCAAGCCAUACAAGGCUUUGUUGAGCUUGUACACCAUUUCUUCUUUGCCAGACACCUUGAAACCUUGAGGUUGCUCCACAUAAAUCUCCUCUUCAAGGAAUCCAUUCAGAAAUGCUGAUUUUACAUCAAGUUGGUGUAUCAGCCACUGUUUUUGUGCUGCUAAGGCAACUAGCAGUCUAAUAGUGUCUAGCCUGGCCACUGGUGCAAAGGUUUCCAGGUAGUCUGAUCCAUACCUUUGACUGAAGCCUUUCACAACCAAUCUAGCCUUUAACUUGUUUAGGCUACCAUCAGCAUUGUUUUUUACUCGAUAAACCCAUUUAACACCAAUAAUCUUCCUGUUUGUUGGUUUAUCAACCAGACUCCAGGUCCGAUUCUUUUCAAUCAUUCUAAUUUCUUCAAUCAUUGCUUGCUUCCAGUCCUCCUGGCUUUCUGCUUCUUCAAAGCAACUUGGUUCAACAGUAGCCACUUGUGCCCUUUCAUAAACAUCAGCCAGUGAUCGAGUGCCUCUGAUUGGAACAUCAUCUACAUCCAUUUCAGAUGUGUUUUCAUCAUUUUCAACUUGGUCCACUGCGAGAUCUUCAGCCACUGCCUCUGGUUCAGCCUUCUCCCAAUUCCAGUGUCCUUUUUCAUUGAAAAUAACAUCCCUGCUAACCAAUAUCUUGUUUGUAGCAGGUUCUAGGAUUCUGUAGCCCUUCUUAACCAAGCUAUAGCCGAUCAGGAUCCCUGCUUGAGCUCUUUUAUCUAGCUUGCUUCUCUUCUCAGCUGGAACUUGUGUGUAGCACAGACAACCAAAGGUUCUGAGAUGAGCCAGUGAUGGCUUAAACCCAAACCAGGCUUCAAAUGGAGUUUUCUCAGCCAGAGCCUUGGUUGGGAGCCUGUUUUGGAGAUAAACUGCUGUGUUAACAGCUUCAGCCCACAGACUUUUGGGCAAAUUCUUCUCAAACAGAAGACAUCUUGCCAUGUUCAUCAAGCUUCUAUUUUUCCUUUCACUGACCUCAUUCUGUUGGGGUGUAUACACAUUAGUCAACUGGUGUUUGAUACCUGCUUCUUCACAGUAGGCUUAGAACUGAGCUGAGGUGUACUCAGUUCCAUUAUCUGACCUCAUUGCUCUAAGUUUGCAACCAGACUCAGUUUCAACAGCAGCUUUAUACUUCAGGAACACAUAUGGAACUUCUGAUUUCUGUUUUAGAAAAUAAAUCCAGCAGUAUCUUGUUAAGUCAUCAAUAAAUAGAAUAAAGUACCUGCUUCCUUUGAGAGACUCAGUCUUCAUUGGUCCACACACAUCUGUAUGCACAAGCUGGAGUUUCUCUGAUGCUCUCUAUGUUGUGCUUGUUGGAAAUGGCAAUCUUGCCAAUUUUUCUUGCUGACAUAUCUCACAAAGCUCAUCAUUCUUCACUGAAUCGAUGAAAUUUUCUGCCAGACCUUCAUUGACCAUGCGGGCUAUGGAUUUGUAGUUUGCAUGUCUAAGCCUCUGAUGCCAGAGUCUCGAGUCAUCAGUGGAGGCUAUGCAGGCUGAAUGUGAGUCAUUUGGCCAGUCUACUUCAAAACAUUUAUCAGUCAUGGUGACUGUUAUAAGGUUUGAUCCACUUGGAUCAAAAAUUUGACAUUCUUUCUCCUUGAAAACAACAGAGUAACCUUUCUCAAGUAGUUGAGUUAUACUGAGAAGGUUCCUAUCGAUUUCAGGUACCAAAAGUACAUUUGAAAUGAUUUUGCCACCUGUAGAAGUAUGAAUCAGCACAUCUCCUCCUCCUUCAGCAUUGAUUAACUGACCAUUUCCAAUUUUUACUUUGGUUUUGCAGGUUCUGUCCAGGGUUUUGAAGAUAGUUGCAUCUGGUGACAUGUGGUUUGUGCACCCACUGUCUAGAAGCCAGCCCUUUGAACCCUUCUUCUGAUUUGCUGCACAUGACACAGCAAAAACAUGUUCUUCUUGAUCACUGCUUUCUUCAGCUACUCGAGCUUCAACCUUUGACUGUUGAAAUUGAUUCUGCCUUGGCUUACUCCUGUUUUUACAGACCCUUUCAACAUGGCCCUUCUUCUUGCAGUGUUGGCAUACUGCAUCUGGCCUAAACCAGCAUCUGUCUUCUGGAUGGCCUAGCUUCUUGUAAUAUCUGCAGGGCUGGUCAUUGCUCCUUGCAGCAUCAGGCUUAGGCCUGUUUUUCCAGAACUUUUUGCCUUUAUGAGUUUUGAUACUCGAGGCUUCUUUGGCUUGAAAAGCCCCUUCCUGGUGCUCCUCUUGUCUGCUGGCUCUUCUUUGCUCUUGUGCAUACAAGGAAUUGAUUAGCUCAGUUAAGGAGAUAGUUGUCAAGUCCCUUGAGUCUUCAAGGGAUGAAAUUUUAGCUUCAUACCUCUCUGGUAGAGUGGACAUGACUUUCUCAACCAUUCUAGCUUCACUGAAUUGCUCUCCUAGGAGCCUUAUGCUGUUUACAACAGCCAUAAUCCGAUCUGAGUACUGCUUAACUGUUUCUUCCUCUUUCAUUUUGAGAUUUUCGAAAUCUCUUCUCAAGUUGAGCAGCUGUUGUUGCCUUGUUUUCUCAGUCCCCUGAAAUUCUUCUUUCAGCUUGUCCCAAGCCUCCUUUGGUGUUUCACAGGCCAUGAUCCUCAUAAAGAUCACAUCUGUCACACAAUUCUGUAUGCAUGACAUGGCCUUGUGCCUUUUUGUUCUUUCAUCAGUGUGUUUCCUUAUUUGAGCAACUGUUGGAUUAGCUCGAAGAGGUGCUGGCUCAGCAUCUGAGUUAACAACUUCCCAUAGGUCGAAUGCCUGCAGGUAAGUCCUCAUCUUAACUGCCCAAAUGUUGAAGCCCUCUCCAUUGAAGACAGGUAGUGAAGCUGGUGAAAAACCUGAUGAUGCCAUCGUUUUGAUACUGAACUACAACAGGUCCUCUAAGAAUGUGGCUCUAGAUACCAAUUGUUGGAUCAAGAGGCAGCAGCAGCAAGCUUCAACAGGAUACUUGUCGAGCAAGUCUCGUGACUUGUAGGAGAAACAAAGCAAAAAACUCAAAUGGAUUUUUAAGCAAAACUAAAAAUGGAGAGGAUAUAGAUGAUAACUUGUUGAAUUCAUUUCAUAAACUUAAUAUGGCACAAAACCAAUACAUAAAACAAGUUUACAAUCUUGACAAAGCAGUAGGUUGACCUAAACUUCACCUACUACCACUAAUACACAUAGUAACUUGUGCUAAUUAGCUUGAACAAACAAACAAAGCUGAUUUAUCAGCUCAGUCAACAUCAAAAUUACAUCAAACAUAAACCUAACAUAGUUAUAAAGCAACUAAGUUACAUUACUCUAACUUAAAAUUACAAAAUGAAACAUAAACAGCUUGCUGACUAGGUGAACCAGCAGCUUCUGCAUGUAGUGCCUUUGACAGUCUUGGUUGCUGCAUGCUGACCAUUACUUCAACA
RNAcentral lists this long non-coding RNA (4840 nucleotides) under Gossypium barbadense (sea-island cotton). Its description in RNAcentral is "long non-coding RNA (GBAR_LNC020317)". The record is from RNAcentral. Lineage: Eukaryota; Viridiplantae; Streptophyta; Magnoliopsida; Malvales; Malvaceae.